This is a non-coding RNA of Alligator mississippiensis (American alligator), 47 nucleotides long. The record is from Rfam. NCBI's taxonomy places the organism in Eukaryota, Metazoa, Chordata, Crocodylia, Alligatoridae.
CCAAAGGCUCUUUUUAGAGCCCCUCCAACUUCACUGAAAAGAGCUGG